Molecule: long non-coding RNA, 2878 nt
Filed under: Anas platyrhynchos platyrhynchos (common mallard)
Lineage: Eukaryota; Metazoa; Chordata; Aves; Anseriformes; Anatidae
Description: lncRNA (ENSAPLG00000025001.1)
Source: RNAcentral
AUCAUGUUAUAACCUAUGAUCACAGAAAGCCCCGAUCCUCACGUUUCUCUGCUGUCACCUGUGGGCUCCUCCAGAGCCGCGAAGAAAGGGGAACUCCAGCCCCACCAUGAGAAGACUGGGUCUUCUGCGCGUGGCGACUCCACCCGUGUGGGAGCUCUGUUAAGGGAGUGCCCGGCAGCACACUUUGCUGUCUGUGGUCUGUGGACAUUGACUGGCACCUAAGCGACACCCAGCUCCCUCCUCUCCCCCUAGAAGCCACUGUCUUAGAGCCUCCAUGCGCAUUUGCUAUGACAUACAUCAAUGUUGAUGAGAGACAGGAACACUGCCGGGUCUUGAGCUGCCAAAAUAAUCAGCUCUGCGCACAACAUGGCUUAAAGGAUUUUCCGGUUAGCAGCAUGCAUCCUCUAAAGAACUUAGACACUCGCAUUUGGUCCGGGGACUUCCACACUCUAGACUCCUGCCGCACAGGCAAGGCAGCUUUGGGCAGUGCUGUGGAAAACCGCCUGUAUCGGAGCGUGGAGAACCUUCACUGGGCGGCAGUGGCUGACUCGGGGCUGCGUUCUCACUGCCGGAGCCUGGACAACGAGAUCAGCUUUGGCUGUAGAGGCAGCAGUCAGUGGGCAGAAGGCUGCGUGGAUGUGGCCCCGCUACGGAGCGCGUCGGACUCGGUGAGAAACCUUUCUCUCCGCCCCAAGCAGACAUCGCGGGCAGUGCAGAACGUGCUGCCCUUUGCCAAAGUGCCUCAGUGGCUCUUCCCCUCUGCAGAGGAAAGAGCCCUACGCGGGGAUGCUAAAAAAGAGCUGAAGGAGAAGCUGAGGCUGCACAGCAGUAAGGUGGCUGAGCCCAGCAAGCCGCUGCGCCCGCAGGCAGCCCUGAGUGAGCUGGUGGCCCAGGAGCUUUCUGAAUGCCAGCUGUGCCAGCAGCACAGGAACGGCUGUGCUGUCAGCUGCUGCACGGUUUUGGGGGAGCACACGGCUCUCAGGCACGGCCUCGCGGGGAGGCAGAGCUGCUGUGCUGCACACAGGCCCGUCAGUCCAGAAGACAUCAAGCAGGAGGCGCAGAGGAGGCUGCAGCUCCGGAGGCAGAACAGCUCGCCCAGCCUGCCCUUUCAGCGUGCUGGGGAAAGCCCGGAGAUGGCAAAAUCCAGAACAGCAGAGUUCCUGGAACGGCACGGUGGGGAAAUAACGCUGGGGCAGGGCAAGAAGGGCCGCUGCAGAGGAAGGCUCUACAUCCCCACCUUCGAGGAAUUCAAGCAAAUGAGGAGUAAGGAGGCAAAGCCACCUGCUGGAAGCAGCGAGCCGACAAAGUGCUUGAAGAAGGGUCUGAUGGCAAACCAGGCCCUGGACAAGGAGAGCAAUAAUGUCUGUCCUGAAGCUCUGGGGACCAAAGCAGUGAAUGAAGCUGCCACCACAGAGGAGGAUGAUGAUGUGUUCCAUGAAAACAACACCACCGCUGGCUUUGCGCAAUAUCCAGCUACAUGGGAUGGUUUCAGGACGAGCAGCCCUGAGGUGAAGGAGCGAACCUUCCAGAUCUCCAGCCCAGAGAGAUCCCCGAUCCCCAUUUGCUCUAGCCCUAUUCCGCGAUCACCUUUGCAGGCUGUAGCCACACACAAAGCUGGGCAGGAAAUCUUCAGUGAUGAGCAGCAGAAAGGAGAGACAAGCCAAUUAAAUGAUGUCCUCCACCUUGCAGGGCAGUCACUGGCUUCUGAAGCCCAGUCCUCUUGCUGUUCAUCGCUGCUGUUAGAAGCCACGGACUUGUCAAGCUAUGGAGCUAAACUACAAAAAAUGAAGGAUGAAUUCAUAGGUUCAGCCCUGGAACUUAUUAAGAAAAGCUGCAAUGCCGAGACUGCUGCCAAAUCCCCCUCCAAGGGACAGUGUGAUCUGAAGAAAGCCGAUCUUCCCCCUCCGGAGGACAGCCAGCAACCCGCAGCGAUGUCCAUGGCAACAGAGGCCUGGGAGGAGAAGGCGAGCAGUGAGACAUCCAGCGAGGCUCAGCCCGCGGGGAACACCUCCAGCCCCGGCUGCCGCCGCUCCAGCUCCGACAUCGUCCAUGAGAGCGGCGCCAAGGCCCAGCGGGAGUGCCGGCUGCGGCCACACUUCAGCGACCCCAUGCCGACGGACUCGGUGAAGAGGAAGCAGCUGGAGCUGAAGAUCGCGGCGGCGGCGCGGCAGCACGCGCAGAAGCGCCGGCAGGAGCGGGACUACGGUCCCGUGGUAGCCAAAGCCAACCUUGGCCACGGCGGCAGCUUCGACGAGACUCGCCGCGCCCCACGUGGCUCCCUCCGCUCCCGGCACCACUGGAGCAACGUCAGCAGCCUGAGCACAGACAGCGGGAUCGUCGGCCUGAACGACGCCCGCGAGGAGCUGGAUGCCGGCGGCGAGGCCACGCGGACCAAGCCGGCAGAGGUGGAGCGGGCAGACAGCGGCAUCGGGCAGACGUCGGCCAGGAAGUGGAGGAGCAGGGCGGCCGAAACGCUGAGCUCCCUGCAGGCCUGGGAAGCCCACCGGCCCUGCACUGACUGCGGAGAAAGGGACCUCCCGGCAGAGACGGACGUGCAGAACUGCAACCAGCGGCGGGCCGACCUCUGCGAGAAGUGCCGCAAGCGCAGGACGGAGCGCAAGGAGUCUGUGCUGGAGUUUGUCAACACGGAGGCCAGCUACGGGGAGGACCUGCGCAUCAUCAAAGAGGAGUUUUACCUCCCCAUGCAAGCGGCCGGGCUGCUGAGUCAAGAGCAGCUCCUUGGCAUCUUCAGCAACAUUCAGGAGCUCAUUGACCUCAACGAGAACUUCCUGGAGAUCCUGCAGGAAGAGAUCGAUCAGGCCUUUGACCAGGUACGGUGCCUGCGUGCUCUGCAGGCAGACAGGAGUAGGUUUUGUAU